This 490-nucleotide ribosomal RNA is filed under the name uncultured bacterium. Its description in RNAcentral is "partial 16S ribosomal RNA". It matches the Rfam family "Bacterial small subunit ribosomal RNA", at positions 30 to 507 of the family's 1533-position model. The record is from RNAcentral.
AUUGAACGCUGGCGGCAGGCCUAACACAUGCAAGUCGAACGGUAACAGAAAGCAGCUUGCUGCUUUUCUGACGAGUGGCGGACGGGUGAGUAAUGUCUGGGAAACUGCCUGAUGGAGGGGGAUAACUACUGGAAACGGUAGCUAAUACCGCAUAACGUCGCAAGACCAAAGAGGGGGACCUUCUGGCCUCUUGCCAUCGGAUGUGCCCAGAUGGGAUUAGCUAGUAGGUGGGGUAAAGGCUCACCUAGGCGACGAUCCCUAGCUGGUCUGAGAGGAUGACCAGCCACACUGGAACUGAGACACGGUCCAGACUCCUACGGGAGGCAGCAGUGGGGAAUAUUGCACAAUGGGCGCAAGCCUGAUGCAGCCAUGCCGCGUGUAUGAAGAAGGCCUUCGGGUUGUAAAGUACUUUCAGCGGGGAGGAAGGGAGUAAAGUUAAUACCUUUGCUCAUUGACGUUACCCGCAGAAGAAGCACCGGCUAACUCCGUG